AGUAGUUGCAUAAAGUUAUGAAAACAAACGCUGUUACACUGACUGAACUGAAGUGUCGGAACAAACAAGCUUUGCCGAAAUGUCUGUCGUGUUGUCAGUGCUUGCAGCUGCAAUAUUUUCAUAUAUACUGAUUUAUUACAGUCUGUUUAGAGGAUCCAGAUUUAAGAGCAGCGCAAAGUUAAAAGGGAAGACGGCAAUUGUUACAGGGAGUAACACAGGUAUUGGCAAAGCCACAGCUUUGGAUCUGGCCAGAAGAGGAGCCAGGGUUAUUUUGGCCUGUCGCAACCAAGAAAAAGCAGAAGCUGCUGUGUAUGACAUUAGAAGGGAGAGUGGGAACUCUGAAGUGCUGUACAUGCAUUUGGACUUGGCCAGUCUGAAGUCUGUGCGCAACUUUGCCGAAACUUUUCUUAAGAGUGAACCUCGACUCGACUUGCUUAUCAAUAAUGCAGGACUCAUUACAUGUGGCAAAACAGAAGAUGGGUUUGGCAUGGCGUUUGGGGUCAAUCACUUGGGUCAUUUUCUGCUCACCCUGUUGCUGUUGGAUCGUCUAAAGGAGGCAGAGCACAGCCGUAUAGUCAACGUGUCUGCCCUGCUUCAUCGUCUGGGCUCCGUGGAUUUCAACCUUCUCAACACACAGAAAGAUCUGGUCACCGGCCAGUCGUCCUGGCACGCGUUCAGAGCUUACUGUCACAGCAAACUGUGUAAUGUGCUCUUUACGCGAGAGCUCGCAAACUGCUUGGAGGGGACCAAUGUCACCUGCUACUGCUUGCAUCCGGGUGUGAUAGCGACUGAGAUCGGUCGGUACAUGGGACUGUGGCAAAGGCUGCUUUCCUUUCCCAUAUCAAAGCUGUUUUUCCUGGACACUGAGGCUGGAGCACAGACCACACUUUACUGUGCUUUGCAAGAGGGCCUUGAGCCUCUGAGCGGACGUUACUUCUCCUCCUGCGGACUACAGAAUGUUAGUGCUCUGGGGCGGGACGAUGCCCUGGCAAGGAAGCUGUGGGAAGACAGUGAGAGGUUGUGUGGCCUGUCGUGAGCAAGAUCAUCCAGCCUCCAGGUAUCCACAGCAUUACAGAUGCCACAUUAAGACAGUAUGUGGAAUAAUGGAUAUCUUUGUUACACCGGGCAAAAGGACUGGAUAUAUCUCUGCCUGCUCCGUGUCUUGGUUCUCAUGCACGUAAACAGCGAUUCAGCGGAGCGGCAAUGAAGUUCGGCUUACAAAGAAACGUCACAGCUAGGACAUGAAUCACAUUCGCUGCGGAGGUUACAGGAUGAUACUAAAGACAAGAGAGAAUGAACCACAAGGAUUUUCAUUAAGUCCCUGCCUGUGCUGGGUAUGAUUUUGCUCCCCAAAGACCAGUUCUGUAGUAUGGAACAUCUAUGCAUAAUAUACAGGUGGGUAACAGCGGCCCCUAUUGUGUAACAGUGAAAAGAUGGAUUGCCAGAAGUUUGCAUCAAUCCAAGCAGGCCAGCUGUCUAUGAGGUUAACCGUCAGGACAGUGCACAAUUAAACUUUCUCCCCUCCUGUGAUCUAGCCACUGCAACUGUGGCAAUUAACCUGGUUAUACACUGCAGUGUCUCUACAACCGGCACAGGGACUAGGAAAAGCCACUGGAUUUGAAGAAAGAGCCAAUUCCACAUAAUGGACCAACACAGUGUCUGAUGAAAAAAGAUCCACGUGGAUGUUGCAAGCACUUGACAUGGAAGCAAUUCAGGCGACGCGGGCUGAGGCCUGGCCGGGAUUAAAGCUCGGGUGGAGGGAUAUUAAUGUGAAGCGGAGGGGACAAGGGCGCUCCCGUCCAAUUACUCUGUACCUAGUCGCCUCCAUCCGGCCGCAAAACAACAGAGGAGGAAAGGAUUAAUUGCCUUGGACUCUGCCCCCACUACAGGCCCAAUUAUGGAAACAUAUUGGCUCCCAGUGUUGCCACAGACACUGCUGUGCUGGGAUAUUGUGUGAAAUUUCUAACCGUUUCCAGAGGUCAGGACGAGUGGACUGAAGCAGAGGCUGAGAAAAGUGGAACAGAAGCCAAUUGAGUUGCAACGUGUCCCACACCUUAACGCGUGGAGGAAAGCAAAAACUUUAUCAUUUGGGUCUGGGGAAUUGAUGUUUGCGCACCUGCAGAGCUAUGGCGAUGGCUGCCGUUCAGACACUCUCCCAGCGUUCUGCAGCUGCGGUGACUAAGCACCCUCUCCUCUUGCCCUCGCCCUCCUCCAUGCAUACCCUAAUACACCUGGCUCUUUAGCCUGCGGCAUAAAGCGAUAAUAACAGCCGUGAGUGAGGGGUGUCCGGGUGAAGGAGGGUCCCUUCUCGUAAUGGGCGAGGGCUGUCUGCUCCCAUGGACCCUCUGUUCCAGCUUCAUUGAGAUUCCAUUAGGAUGGUGAGAGUGUGCUGCCCCCCCGGUUUGGCUGACACUUGCGCGGGAUCACGACAAAUUGGCUCUGUCAUAGUGGACAAUUUUGAGAUGAGAAGUAAAUUAAACAUGUAAUCACAAAAGGAGGCGCUUUGUGAAGUUCUGGGCUCCGCGCAGCCAUCAGGGCAAUCCGUGUCACGUCGUAGCUCGUUUUCUGUCUUCAUUCCCUUCAGACUGUUUGCAGGAACCGGUGUCAGAAGCAGAAGCGGAUGGAGUGCUGCACUUGAACCCCAGUAAUGGCUUUGAAUUGUGUUCGAAACACUCCUGAAGUAUGACGUUUGAUUUCUUGGUGGAGAACUGGAUAAAGGCACUCUACUUGCAUGGUGCACGAGGACAAUAUCAAAUGUUUUGGUGCGUGCUUACAAGGUAUCCGGUAUUGCAGAACCUAUUUGGCCGCGGUAUAGUUUUUGUGUGAUUUCAAGGCCAGAUCCUAUAAUCAAUGGCUGAGCGCUGGCUUAAGCUCGCCGGAGAGCCUGCAGCAUAGCGCUGAUCGUGUUCGCGGUGAGCGGAGGAAGCAGCAGGAAAUGUUCACGGCUGGUGAAAAAUUAAGUCCCGUCGGUGUAAUUCAGCAGCUCGCUGAUAGCAUCAGGCUUCAGUUGGCUGUAUCAGGCAGGUAUUACCACCCACCGACUGUAAUCACUAAUGAAGCCGGCAGUGAGUUUAUAACGCGCUAAAUGAUGCGGUCCACUCCAGAUAAACACAUCCUAAAUAAACGAUUUGGGUGGUAAUUGCACUCUGCCAGGGCCCCGUUAAUAGAGUCAACUCGGCUGAUGAGAGGGUUAACUUCUCUUCCGAAGGAGCCUCUCACUGGCUCAUUGCACUCUCAUUUCUACGGAGAUCUUGGCAUUCCCCUGGUUAUCAGUGUACUUAAAAAGAAAACCUAAUUAGACCAAAAAAGGCCCUUUUUUCUUUUUCUCUAAUUAGGUCCUUAACAUAAUUAGCAGGUAAUGUUAAUAACCCUCUUUUAAACUCUAUUAAAAGGCUGUUGGGGAGUAAGUGGUUGAGGAGGAUGUCCUGCGCCGAGCCACGGGUCCCUCGGUGGGCGGAAGCAGGAGACCAGGAGAGGCAUGCUGGGACUUCAGUUCAUCAGAGUUGGAGUGCCACUGCAUUAUAGCUCGGGGCCCCACGGGGGCCUCCUCAUCAUCAGACUGUAGGCCCGGUGCAUUAAUAUCACCCCCUUCCCGACUUUUCAGUACCGGGCCUUCAUCGGGGCAGUCUAAAAAACAACGGCUGAUUCAAACGGAAGCCAGCAUUUCUGCUACAUUAACAAUGUAGCCGCUGCUGAAGCAUGGGUUGAAUUAGAAUCCACCAGGGGGCAUUGUGUCUUCAGUAAUGUUCGCGCAAAUUACCGUAGAGAGGACUGGGACCACUGUGGUUAAUGUGACUCCAGUGAAAUAUUUAUAUGGGUUUUGGGAAGUGCUCUAGGUUCCAGUGAGUGGUCUGUUGGCUUCGGCGAGGAGGAGGAAGAUGAGGAAGAACCUGCCGUCGACCAGAAGAGCCCAGUCCUCGUCUUUAAUUAAGUAUCUGAAACAUCAAUUUAAAUGUAAAUAUCGGUGGCGCAGCUCCACUCAUGCGUAAAUUAGAGCGUUGGCCCGGCACAUUGCGCUCUCUCUCCCAAGUCCCCGCUCACUUACUCUGACAUCUGCUCACAUCUGCUGGGCCCCGGGCUUCCCCAACGCACACACACACACACACACAACACACACACACAAAUUAAAAUCGGACUCAUUCUUGUAUCAGUCUAAGUAGUUUGCAUUUACAAAUGUUGUAUGGAACAUGUUAUUUGCUUGGACUAGACAUGUACAUAAUGUCACAGCAUAUUGUGGUUUCUCCUACUGUAGAUCAGCGCAUCUUAAUCUUUUUGACUUCAAGGCCCUCUGCAACAAUAUUUGAAACCCCCACCUCACAAUCUCUACCCAAUAAAAUGUAUAAUAUAUUGAUCACUUAUAACCAAAUUUUAUGUGGAUCAAGUCCUCAAAAGUGACAUCUGUAUUUAGCCUCAUUGUAUACGUGGCCUUAGAGGGACUUGGCUUCCUUAUUGCCGUUAUCAUGAUGACACUAGUGGUUCACCAUGGAGCUGUCUCAUAACCUGUCCCAGUGAGUAAGUAUGUACUCUGUGCAUUUUUAUAGUGUACUUCAUUACCAGUAUGGUCAAAGCAUAGUACAGGUGUAUCUUUUUAUCUCACUUUUGGGUGUUAUUGUCUGAGCAGCUAUAAGUUUUAUUUUCAGACUGAUGAAUGGUCCUGUUUUCUGUCUGGCAGGCGCACAUGGUCUUAUUUCUCAAGCCCGUUCAUUGACAUGCAUCUUUUACAUGGUUGCUGUGCAAUGUAGCUUCUCUUUAGCGUGGCGUUAGUAUUUGUCUGUACUGCAUUAUAGAAUUUGUUUAUCUGACUAAGAUUAAUGAGAAUCAACACGCUCAAGUUGCUAAAAGGUUUGUCCGUCUGGCUUGCCUGCGCAGGUUGCCAGAUCCUCUUAGAACCCGUGCCAUGACAUUUGGGCUCAAGCGUGAAGGCUGUGGAUUGGAACAGUGAGAGAGAUACAUACUCCCCCACACACAUGGUGGAAUUCCGUAAUCUGGGGUGUGAACCCAGCACAAGACAUCCAGCAAACACACCUGUCCUUAUUUGUGACAAAGAUCAACCUCCUGCCCCCCCAUAUUUGUCAUCCACUCCAUGUCCAGCCAGCAGGAGGUGAAAUCGCAUUCUCUGCGGUUUCCAAUGCUGACCUAAAUACGUCUGCUCUCUCCUGUAACAAGAGUGGAAAAAUAAAUAUGUGAUGGGACAAAAUAAGAACCGAAACCGCUAAUACUGAACACAAGGGCUUCAAGAGGAGAAGGACCAUCAUGUGCGGACAGGAGCUCUCAAGGAAUCUCCAGGACCCGUUUUUUUUUAAACGUGAAGACAACCUUCAUGAAAAGCUGUGAUUUUACAAUGUUUUAGCAAAAUGCUGAUCUCUAUUUGGGAUAAAAUUGAAAGACUUAAAGAAAUUCAAUUAAAAAGCUGGAAAGCGCAAAAAGAGGUGGAAUAAGUGGAACAUUAUAAAACUGCCAGCAAAUGGUUUCCUCAAACCCACUCGAGGGAAACCGCACAUGUCACUUAGCAAACAAAUAACUUUGCUUCUAUUUUCACUUUCAUAUCACAACUGAAUGUAUUAUUUAAUGCACGUACUUUGAUGAUUUUUUCCCCCGCUUGUUUUGCCUCAGCCGAUGUGGCGUUGGCAGAGAUUGCCUUGUUAAAGAUUAAUAAGACCGCUGGCUUGUGAUUGUUUUAAGGUUAGAGCCGGCACUGAUUCCGUCUGCUAACGCCGUGCGUGUUUAUGCAGGUGCGUAUGAGCUCGCUUACUGUCUGGAUAUUGAUCGUCUGAGUGUGUCUGCCCAAAGAGCAGUUGCUCAGUCAUCCAGCACGAGCCAGUGGAAAGGCGGCAAGGUUGAUUUGGCUGACCUCGGUCUGGUCUGUGACACCAACGGGUAUUUUGGCCAUGUCAGCAUAACCGUCCUCCAAUGUGCAGAUGUUGGACCUCAGCGUAAGUGAGCAUGUGUGGUCGCUUUAAACCCUUCAUGCUAAUCACGAUCUGGCAUUGACACUUGAUAGAGAUGUUGCGCUAACUACUAUGUCAAGACUGCACGUUACUGUAAGGGCUGUAUUCUCCGUUUGUCUCUCCGGACAUAUUUCUCCCAUUUUUAUAACGCUUCCCCAGGGAACUUAGAAUUCUGGCCGUGACCCAUAUUGACACCUUUGAGCCAUUGUGAGAAGCCUUGCUUUAUGGUUUAUGUACGCAUGUAAUGACCUCAAUUCUCCUCAUAGCAGCCCACUCGACCUCUUUCUUUUUUGUUGUUGUCAGUGAUUCAUUUUAAAAGCCAUUCUCAAUUGUACAAUUAGCAUACUAGUUCUUACUGAGGUUGUACCCUAUCACAAGUUAUUGACCAUUAAGCUGUCAAUUAACACAUUGGGGUUUCUUGCACAGCCAGGUUCUUUCUUCAUUGUCCCAGAUCAUGAAUGGGCUGAUUUAUGUCACAAUCUCAGUUUGGUGUGUUUUUAUAUGUGUGCUGUAAACUUUUAACAGCUAAUGCAUUAGCAAUAUCCCCUCUAAAUCCAUGGCAAAACUCCGGGUUGCACACACAACGUUAUCAGAUUAAUUGAGUCUCGCUGGAAAUCGCUAUACACUUGGAAAUAGCUGUACGUCCAAUUGCAGUAGUUAACACUAGAGGUUUAGAGUCUAUUUUAUCUCAAAUUUAUCUGGAGGGAAUGGGGCCGAGGUCAUCAUCAGGUGGCCGUAACCCUUUUGUGCCGGUUCUAUUGCUGUUGAAGAUAAAGCGUACAGGCUACAGUCAUCCCCUCUCCAGGCUGUAUAGACGAGGUAGGCUACGCUGUGAAUUUGCCUCAAGUGUGGGAUUGUGGUUUGAAAAACACUUGGUAAAAACCAGUUCCAUCAUCCUGCUAUAGGACAAAAAGCAUAAUUUUAGACAUUUUCAUAGCAUGUUUAACUAUCCUUGUACCCCCUCUCUAAUAUUGCAUCUAAAUUACCAUCUUAAAUGUACACGCGAUUGCCACGAGACGUCCGCCCUGGAGAUGAGCCGUCCACCCACCAGCCCUCAGGCUCUGUGGCAUUUCACGAACCCCAGCCACGUUCCCCGGCAAAUUUCCCCGGAUUAGAUUUGUAAAUCAAAAACCAAUACAUAAUAUGCACGAAUUAAUCUGUUUUAUAUACCUUGGUUACAUUUUCCUGGUGCACAUUUGGAAGAUUUAGAAUGUAUUUGCGCCUGCUGGUUUCAGCCAUUAUAUGCUUCAGUUCAUACAUCUAUUUGUGAGGCUAUAAAACAGGCAUUGACUACCCAUGUAAAUUGUGUUCUCCACAAUAAAUUAUAUGCAUAUUUGCAAAAAACACAUGACUGCUGUCGGUCCUCCCCCGUGUAUCCGGAAUACUAAUAACAGCUGGGUGAGAUGCAUAUGCUUCCUCUGUGUUUUUCUAUCACAGCGUGAUUUGGGGUUUUAAGCGCUUCGUUCCGCAUCAUCCCAUCUCCCUGUGUACAACUUCUAUAUAUUUGAAGUGAGUGAUGUUCUGACUGUAGUGGGGUGGUGGAAAAUACCAUUGACCAAAGUGAUGUCCGGCAGUCAUAUUUGUACAAUAUUUGCACUUAAACCCCCUCAGGAUAUAUUAAACCAUCAAAAUAUGACAUGAUUAAAAUAAUUUGGCAUAAAGGUUAUCAUAUUAUAUACAGUAUGUACAUUUACAUGUGUGUAAUUUUAGCCAACCCUCCUUAAAUUCUUCUCAAAACUGAAAAUAUGUUUGAAUAAAAAGCGAAGAUGUAAAUUUUCCAAAG
RNA transcript from Triplophysa rosa, 7731 nucleotides. It is a transcript of the gene named dehydrogenase/reductase (SDR family) member 13a, duplicate 3, with no coding region annotated. The record is from RefSeq and is a predicted model, not a curated record. Lineage: Eukaryota; Metazoa; Chordata; Actinopteri; Cypriniformes; Nemacheilidae. The transcript is spliced from 15 exons.